This is a long non-coding RNA of Stegostoma tigrinum, 1721 nucleotides long. RefSeq lists it as uncharacterized. NCBI's taxonomy places the organism in Eukaryota, Metazoa, Chordata, Chondrichthyes, Orectolobiformes, Stegostomatidae. The transcript is spliced from 5 exons. The record is from RefSeq and is a predicted model, not a curated record.
GACGAUUCUGUUUCUUCAGUUGAUCAAUCAAUAUUUUGAAUAUUUCAAUUAAACAUUUAGAAUUUGAUUUAGCUCAAGGCAGACGUUUGCUUGUUUGAGGAGAAUGUUUCGGCAAAAAGACUCACCUGGAAGACCAGACAGGACGGGCUUGUUUCUUGGGUUUAGCCGCCUGCCUCUGAUACUCCAUCCAGCCACAAACCAAUUCGUGGAUAAUCAUCACGUAGAGCAGGAAGAUGAGAACCCCCGGCUCCAUCCUGGGAUGCUGAGUAUUUGCUGCAUUUGACAGGGAAGGCAUGGAGUGAGGCUGCAGGUACCUGGGAUCUCGCGAUUGCCCUGACUCACAGGCUGAGCUGAGUUACAUCAGAGAGGGAAAGGAGAGAAAUGUUAAUGCUUGGGGGAUAUCUGCCUGAGAAAAUCAUCAGGAGCACCGCCGACUUACACAGAACACACAAACACCAAGCAACACAAUGCCACUGGGAACGCAGGCUGCAGUUACAAUGGAAGCGCUCGAUCUGCAUAAUUCCUUCAAUAAGAACAUAUCAUUCCCACAGGAAGUACUGGAGAAACCGUAUGUUCAAUGUUGUGCACGUUUUCUAACAGUUGAAGUCAGGGAAGAGUUUCCGGGGUACAAAUAAUAAGGCCAGCUGUUUAAAUGUUACCUAUCCCUCUGUAACACUGGAAUGAAGCGUUUAAAUUUCUAGUUGAGGAAAGAACUCUUAGAUGUGUCCGUUCCACAAAUGCAGUGUGUUAUAAACCAUUGUGUUUCUAAUUAAACUUUAACGAUAACCCGCUUCAUAAUUUGUUUUGCUGCAAGGUCUAAUAAAUGAACGUGUCCAUCGACGAAUAUAGACAUGAACGGCGUUUAAUCGAUGGCCGGAACAUAAAAUAUGGGCGGGAAGGCCGGUCUCCAUGGCAACCGGGAGCACAACUGGGCUACAUUUUAAGCUUCAAGACCUCUGUGGGGAUCGGAUUUAAAAUGAGGAGGGGUCAGAAAGGGGCAGCAGACACACAUAAUAGCCCUUAGUCCGCAGGCACUUGGGGGUGAACUCUGUGUCAGAUGGACAUGCAUUCAUCACUGCAGCAUCUGAUCAAGCAGGACCUGCCGGACUUCCAGAAGGCAUUGGACAAAGUUCUACAUCAGAAAUUAAGGUAGAAGACCACAAAAUUGGAGACAAAUUACAGACACAAACGGAGAAAUGGUUUGAAUGGCAGGCGAGGCAGAGUCGGGUUAAUAGGUUACCUCUCAGCCUAGUGGAAAGGAUCGAAGUUUGUCCAACUGCUCCCGAUAGCUGAUACACUCCAAUCCAGUGAAUUGGAUAUAUUCUGCACCAUUGUGGCAAUUGACAGAGGAGCACAGUAUAUGCUGUCAACCUGAUCAAUUUCUCCAGGACUUUCUAAUUUGAUUCAUGAUGCAACUGUCACCCAAGAUAUAGCAGUGAGCCCAAAAAAGCCAAGUUAUCGAUUCUGAGUAAUGUCCAGUGGUUCACCUUCGAAAAAUCCAUAAGUAUGCAGCCAGUCAAAUGUAGGCACAUGCUUGGCUGUGAUGCUGUUGAUGGUUUAAUAGCUUGAGACUUACUUUAUAUAAGCUCAUUCAAAAAAAACAAAAUUGCUAAAUGUACUUAGUUGUUAUUUUUGCCUUGACAUUGAAUCCGCUGAUUCAGUCUGCACAUUGAACUCUUAUCACUGAAUAUUUAAACAUCACUAAUAGAUCUGCUGUUGUC